CUGUAGUAUCCUGGCCGUCGUCCGCACAUGUGCAGAGCCAGCGAGGCCAGCUGGCUGUUGGAGCGUCUUCUGCGCAUGCCCGCCAAUCAGCUGAAUGUCGGGCAGUCGAGACGCGCGCCUGGAGAGUCGGGGCGCCUUCAGAACAGGAGACUCUUUCUUUCUGAUGGGGAGCCGACAGUCAACUUUAAAAAUGAGCAUGGCUGCAACCAUCUUCCUUAUUCAUUUUCGGUUGACAUAUUGAUUGCUAGGUGGUUCACAAGUCUAAAUAACUCUUUGUCCCAAGGGAACCAAGGUCAUCGGCUGCUCCUGAGACUGCAGGCUGGGCGUUUUGUGAAAAGCCCACCAACAAGAUGUAUUGGGAAACAUAGUUGCUUGCAUAGCCUUAGGGGUGGAAUUGUUAUGUGUGUCUUCAGACUUGGUUUCACUUUUGACAUACUGAUACUUUGUAACUAAUAAACAUGUUCUUUGAGGAA
This is a long non-coding RNA of Crotalus tigris (Tiger rattlesnake), 473 nucleotides long. RefSeq lists it as uncharacterized. The transcript is spliced from 2 exons. The record is from RefSeq and is a predicted model, not a curated record. Lineage: Eukaryota; Metazoa; Chordata; Lepidosauria; Squamata; Viperidae.